UACGGGGGGUGCGAGCGUUGUCCGGAAUCACUGGGCGUAAAGGGCGCGUAGGUGGCGUGAUAAGGGUGUGGUGAAAGCCCGGGGCUCAACCCCGGGUCGGCCAUGCCGACUGUCAGGCUCGAGUGCUGUAGGGGCAGGCGGAAUUCCGGGUGUAGCGGUGGAAUGCGUAGAGAUCCGGAGGAACACCGGUGGCGAAGGCGGAUCUCUGGGCCGAUACUGACGCUGAGGAGCGAAAGCGUGGGGAGCGAACAGG
RNAcentral lists this ribosomal RNA (253 nucleotides) under uncultured bacterium. Its description in RNAcentral is "partial 16S ribosomal RNA". It matches the Rfam family "Bacterial small subunit ribosomal RNA", at positions 524 to 776 of the family's 1533-position model. The record is from RNAcentral.